GAUGAACGCUAGCUACAGGCUUAACACAUGCAAGUCGAGGGGUAACGAGAGGGAAGCUUGCUUUCCUUGUCGACGACCGGCGCACGGGUGAGUAACGCGUAUCCAACCUGCCCCCAACUAGGGAAUAACCUUGCGAAAGUAAGACUAAUACCCUAUAAUUUCCUCAGAUGUCAUCUGACGAGGAAUAAAGAUUUAUCGGUUGUGGAUGGGGAUGGUGCUGAUUAGCUUGUUGGCGGGGUAACGGCCCACCAAGGCAACGAUCAGUAGGGGUUCUGAGAGGAAGGUCCCCCACAUUGGAACUGAGACACGGUCCAAACUCCUACGGGAGGCAGCAGUGAGGAAUAUUGGUCAAUGGGCGGAAGCCUGAACCAGCCAAGUAGCGUGCAGGAUGACGGCCCUAUGGGUUGUAAACUGCUUUUAUACAGGAAUAAAGUUAGCCACGUGUGGUUAUUUGUAGGUACUGUAUGAAUAAGGACCGGCUAAUUCCGUGCCAGCAGCAGCCGCCG
RNAcentral lists this ribosomal RNA (506 nucleotides) under uncultured bacterium. Its description in RNAcentral is "partial 16S ribosomal RNA". It matches the Rfam family "Bacterial small subunit ribosomal RNA", at positions 28 to 523 of the family's 1533-position model. The record is from RNAcentral.